ACACUUGUGGAUACAAGAAAAACAGCCCAACAAAUAAAUUUAAGAAAAUGUGGUCGUCGUGUAAACUCUCCAACUGCUCUCCACUCCAUGUUGAUAAAACUAAGAAUCCAGGAUUUGAGGCCUGAGCCAGUCAUCAUAACUACAAGAUGUGCUGAAGUUCUGCUUGUGCCGAGUCUGUCAUCAGUCUAUCUGUUUCACCUGUCAUCACCAACUAUCUCAACAACAUCGCCUGGAUAAACAGCAUCCCAUUCCAUUGGAGAAACUACCAUGUCGAUCGAGUUAUACGGAUCUCUUCUACUUCCCCAUUUCUUUAAAUGUCUGAGCAUGCCUGGCCUGUGGAUUUCCCAGGCUUAAAGGUAGGACACCAUUUCUCUCUAUUCUUCCUUUUUCGAUUAUUUGGUGGUGUUUAUCACAUGUUUAGGUAGGCAGAUAGUUAGGUUUUAUCACACCUGAGGCAGGCCUUUGACUGAAACUGUUUUUCUCUUGCAAUUUUAGUUUAAUCAGUUAGGGUUCAUUAAAAACUUCAUUGUCAGAACGACUGAAGGUCAGGCCUUGAAAAAUAUUAAAACUUUCGACACUUUAAGCCAUGAGAAAAGCUAUAAAAAUGGUCUGAGCAAGAGUGGGCCCUCCUUCAUCACAUCGUCAUAAUAAUAAUUAGGUCCGAUUCCGUAAUGGAUCUGCUGGCUGGCUGGAACUGCCAUGUCGGACGUGGAGUGGCCACGGCAUUUUUUUUUCUUUUCCCCCCCAGCAUCACACAAAAGGCAUUUCCGCCACGGCCAUCACGGACACAUGAGAGCUCGGUUGGUUUAUCUAGAACGGAACUUGCAGACGGCCGUGAUGGAUUAAUAGCCCAAGCAGUCAUAAUAAUAUUCUCUGCUGUCUAUUAUUAUUAUGUAGACACCCGCACAUCCACAUAUUAUAGGGAGGGGCAGCCCAGCAUCUGACGAUAUUUUAUCUUUUGAUGAUGAUGUGCACACACACACACACAUCCAGGUCUAUACACACUCUUAGUCGAGACAGCUGAUAUCAUCAUCAAUAAACCCGGAAGAACCCCUGGCAUUUCUUGUCCAAUCAAAUGGCAUCUUUUUUCGUCCCAACUUGCUCAAUCAACAUAUUAAAAUUUGAUAUAUUUUGGGAAAUUGUGUCCUUUUAUCGAUUCAACAAUGGCAUUUAUUUCGCCGGGGAGCUGGCGACAACACACGCUGGGGGGGCGGAUAUCGAUUUGCUAUACUUUCUGUAUUAUAUUCAUUUCCCGGGGUGAAACAACAACAAAGUUUAUAAUUUAGCCAUGAAAUUGGAUUUCUCUUUUUCCUUUUAUUUUUAAUAUCUCAAAAGUAUAGCGAAGGGGAAAGGCAAUCAUCAGUCACUUCAGUGUGACUCUCUGCUGGCAAUUUUUCACGACUAAUGAACGCCAGACACAAAGUGUCGCAGCCAGCAGCACAGCACACUCGUCAAAAACGCUCAGACACGCUCUCGAGCUAUGGCAAAUCAUUUCCAUGUGCCAGUAGUACUCAAAAAGUCUUUCACACUCGCAUUUACAUGGAAAAAGAGUUAAAUCUCAGCAUUACGCUAUACGAUUUGAACAUUUUUUUGAAAAUCAAAUCUUUGCCGCCAUCAAUUUGGGCGCCAAAUGGCGGACGCCGUUUGAAUGUGAAAAUUCGACUAUCGAAAUCAAUUGAAUUGCCAAACUUUUUUAAUUUAAUUUUUAUUUUUUCGAGCGCAAAGAGAGGAGCAGUUUUAAUUGGAAAAAACUCUUGUGAGCUCACAUAGAGAGAGCAGAGCGUCGUUCGAAUUGUUUGCAAUCGCGGAACAAAGAUUUUCGUCCGUAUAACUUUGUGCCGCUGCUGCUGCUGCUGCCAUUCCGCACGAUUGACUUUAAUGCGUUUGAACGCAAACGGGCAGAGUGGAGAGCAGCAGCUGCAAACAACAAGACGAAAAGAGCCGAGCCGAGCAGAGAGUGUAAAAAGAAUCAAAUGAUGUUUGUGAGAUGCUGUAAUAGAUGGCGACUCAACUCGUUAUAGAUCCCCUUUUUCUCUUACACGCCAUCAAGAGUCUCAAGUGCUCUUGAUAGACUUGUAUAGUUUGAUGGACGUUAUUUCAAAUGAUAUAGGCCCCCUUUUUUUAAAUGUGUUUGAUCAGAUAUGCUGAUCUUGUUAGACAUACGCCGUUGCUUUCGGGUGCUGGAUCUUUUAACUUUUUAACUUUAAUGAGAGAACCGGCCCUGCCCGUCGUCGUAAAGGGGGAAUGUGCGUGAUUUUCCAGCGACUAUAGUAGAAGCGCAAGUGAAACAUUUUCGAACAAUCAUACGCGGUUCAAAGCGCCGGCCGUAAAAGAUUUCCGUGGAAACUUCUAGGCCCUUCUGGUGGUGGUCCUGUCUGUGUACUCAAUUCGUGGAAUGUUGGCGAGCGCGCGCGCCUUUUGAAUAAUAGAAUACCCGCGCGCCACAGAGAGCGUGCAGCGUGCUGUGCUGUGCCUUGGAAAAUUAAUUGAAUUCAAUCAAUUAUAUCCUUUCACAUGUCGAAAGGAGAGGAACUGCUCUGCAUAAUAAUACUAUAUACGUAGAGACUGUGGAUCAAAGCGACGACACUUUCCGUAUCAAUCGAAUGCAGUUAUCGGAAUUCCGGGGGGGCCAACU
RNAcentral lists this long non-coding RNA (2635 nucleotides) under Daphnia pulex (common water flea). RNAcentral describes it as "uncharacterized LOC124202030". The record is from RNAcentral. Lineage: Eukaryota; Metazoa; Arthropoda; Branchiopoda; Diplostraca; Daphniidae.